GGAUAACACUUGGAAACAGGUGCUAAUCCCGUAUAACACUAUUUUCCGCAUGGAAGAAAGUUGAAAGGCGCUUUUGCGUCACUGAUGGAUGGACCGCGGUGCAUUAGCUAGUUGGUGAGGUAACGGCUCACCAAGGCCACGAUGCAUAGCCGACCUGAGAGGGUGAUCGGCCACACUGGGACUGAGACACGGCCCAGACUCCUACGGGAGGCAGCAGUAGGGAAUCUUCGGCAAUGGACGAAAGUCUGACCGAGCAACGCCGCGUGAGUGAAGAAGGUUUUCGGAUCGUAAAACUCUGUUGUUAGAGAAGAACAAGGAUGAGAGUAAAAUGUUCAUCCCUUGACGGUAUCUAACCAGAAAGCCACGGCUAACUACGUGCCAGCAGCCGCGGUAAUACGUAGGUGGCAAGCGUUGUCCGGAUUUAUUGGGCGUAAAGCGAGCGCAGGCGGUUUCUUAAGUCUGAUGUGAAAGCCCCCGGCUCAACCGGGGAGGGUCAUUGGAAACUGGGAGACUUGAGUGCAGAAGAGGAGAGUGGAAUUCCAUGUGUAGCGGUGAAAUGCGUAGAUAUAUGGAGGAACACCAGUGGCGAAGGCGGCUCUCUGGUCUGUAACUGACGCUGAGGCUCGAAAGCGUGGGGAGCGAACAGGAUUAGAUACCCUGGUAGUCCACGCCGUAAACGAUGAGUGAAAGUGUUGGAGGGUUUCCGCCCUUCAGUGCUGCAGCA
RNAcentral lists this ribosomal RNA (724 nucleotides) under uncultured bacterium. Its description in RNAcentral is "bacterial SSU rRNA". It matches the Rfam family "Bacterial small subunit ribosomal RNA", at positions 141 to 853 of the family's 1533-position model. The record is from RNAcentral.